This 427-nucleotide unclassified non-coding RNA is filed under the name Hevea brasiliensis (rubber tree). Lineage: Eukaryota; Viridiplantae; Streptophyta; Magnoliopsida; Malpighiales; Euphorbiaceae. The record is from RNAcentral.
UUCAAGAUAGUCAAGGUGCACCUGCCCAGUUAUCAAGCUCAGCUAAGAAUAAAAGGUGUGUAAAAGAUUUUUUUAUGUAUAUUAAAAAAGAAAAGAAAUUGAGAAGUAGUAGCUUCCAAUCAUGUUAAUGAUAUUCAAUGAAACUCAAAGAAAACCACAAAAAGUCCAGCUAACAUAUUAAAAACAACCUUCUCCAACAACAUAUUAAAAGACAAGAUGUGUCCCGCCAACAAUGAAAAGAUAAUAAUCCAAAUAGUCUUACAUAAUUAAAUUGAAGGUGGUCACCAUAUAACAAAUUAUGGUUGCAAUUCCCAAAAUGGCUGAUAAUAUGAGAAUAUAUACUGUCAAUUGUAUUUGAAUUUACAGAAUAUCACUUGUAUUGGAUCAACACAAUAACAAAAUUGAAGUCCUCUAAAUAUGUUUAAUG